UGAGCACACACAUGUGUGUGUCUGUGUGUAGAGGUCGAAAAUCAGAAAUCCCAAAAUCUUGUUAAAUUUGCAUCGGACAGGCAGCCAGGCACCAACAGGCUCACAAGCGCAUAAAUUCAUAAUACUCGUCCUUCAAAAGGGAAGGUAUUUGAGAAAAAUUAAAUUUGUGGGCAUUUUUGCUUGUGCGGCUACAUGCCCACACAAACAUUUAAACGGAGCAUGCGGGCAUGUCUCGAACCCGAACAAAAACGAAGGCGACUUUGGACUAGCCGCACUGAAAACGCUUGUCCCCAGCAUUUGUACUGGUUGUCCUAGAUGUUUCCCUCUAUUAUACUCUUUUACCACUAACCAUACAAUAUAUAUGUACAUAUAGGAAUAAUGGGUCGCAAAUUCAGCUCUUGUGUGAGCAAAAUUAUUGUUUUUCAAAAUAUAUUGACAAGUUUCGGCAUUUGGCCUAUGUUUUACUGUGCUAUUUACGAGAUUUUCGUAUAUUUUUUUUGUAGGCUAGUAUAUUUCAUUUUCGGCAUGCCAGAAGUUAAAAGUAAAUUCCAAUUGCAUUUUUUUUUUAUCGAAGAUUAAGUACAAAAUCGUCCAUUAAGUGUAGGGAUCAUUUUUCUCAGUGCGGUUGGAACGAACGAUUAAAGAUGACUUCAAAGUUUAAGGUUUUUAACACUUUGAUUUAUUAAGCACUACAGCCAUCGAUAAGCACAUGGCGAUAGCGACUUUUAACUACGGGAUUAGCACACGAGGCGAGGGUACAAAGAGGAAGACUGAUAAAUGAUUUGCGAGGCUCAUUGGGUUUUUAUUUGAGAGCCUAAGCCAAUAUUAUUUGGCUCUUUUGGAUCCAAUCGACAUAGUUGGCGACCUUGCAGUAAACACCAGGAUAAGGUGCCACUGUGCAAGGCUUGAUACUCCAGGAUACAAUUCCCACCUGCUGGCCGUCGUACAAAAGGGGGCCGCCAGAAUCGCCACUGCAUUGUCCCUUUCCACCCUCAUCGACGCCACCGCAAAUGUGGUAGCGGGGAUCUGUGGAUCCUUGGUGACGCGCCACGCACUCCUCGUCAGAAUAUACUUUCAGCUGCACCUGCUGCAAGGUAGUCUGUAUACUUCCGCCAGUCUAGACGAUAAGACAAAAUGUUUGUUCACCUUUUUGACUACUGGAAUUCGAAAAAUAAAAAACUCCUACCGCA
Long non-coding RNA from Drosophila montana, 1190 nucleotides. RefSeq lists it as uncharacterized. Lineage: Eukaryota; Metazoa; Arthropoda; Insecta; Diptera; Drosophilidae. The record is from RefSeq and is a predicted model, not a curated record. The transcript has 2 exons.